RNAcentral lists this ribosomal RNA (116 nucleotides) under Klebsiella pneumoniae. Lineage: Bacteria; Pseudomonadati; Pseudomonadota; Gammaproteobacteria; Enterobacterales; Enterobacteriaceae. The record is from RNAcentral.
UUUGGUGAUGAUGGCAGAGAGGUCACACCCGUUCCCAUACCGAACACGGAAGUUAAGCUCUCUAGCGCCGAUGGUAGUUGGGACCUUGUCCCUGUGAGAGUAGGAUGUUGCCAGGC